RNAcentral lists this ribosomal RNA (1362 nucleotides) under Microbacterium sp. RNAcentral describes it as "bacterial SSU rRNA". It matches the Rfam family "Bacterial small subunit ribosomal RNA", at positions 56 to 1430 of the family's 1533-position model. Lineage: Bacteria; Bacillati; Actinomycetota; Actinomycetes; Micrococcales; Microbacteriaceae. The record is from RNAcentral.
UGCAGUCGAACGGUGAAGCCAAGCUUGCUUGGUGGAUCAGUGGCGAACGGGUGAGUAACACGUGAGCAACCUGCCCUGGACUCUGGGAUAAGCGCUGGAAACGGCGUCUAAUACUGGAUAUGAGCUCCUUCCGCAUGGUGGGGGUUGGAAAGAUUUUUCGGUCUGGGAUGGGCUCGCGGCCUAUCAGCUUGUUGGUGAGGUAAUGGCUCACCAAGGCGUCGACGGGUAGCCGGCCUGAGAGGGUGACCGGCCACACUGGGACUGAGACACGGCCCAGACUCCUACGGGAGGCAGCAGUGGGGAAUAUUGCACAAUGGGCGGAAGCCUGAUGCAGCAACGCCGCGUGAGGGAUGACGGCCUUCGGGUUGUAAACCUCUUUUAGCAGGGAAGAAGCGAAAGUGACGGUACCUGCAGAAAAAGCGCCGGCUAACUACGUGCCAGCAGCCGCGGUAAUACGUAGGGCGCAAGCGUUAUCCGGAAUUAUUGGGCGUAAAGAGCUCGUAGGCGGUUUGUCGCGUCUGCUGUGAAAUCCCGAGGCUCAACCUCGGGCCUGCAGUGGGUACGGGCAGACUAGAGUGCGGUAGGGGAGAUUGGAAUUCCUGGUGUAGCGGUGGAAUGCGCAGAUAUCAGGAGGAACACCGAUGGCGAAGGCAGAUCUCUGGGCCGUAACUGACGCUGAGGAGCGAAAGGGUGGGGAGCAAACAGGCUUAGAUACCCUGGUAGUCCACCCCGUAAACGUUGGGAACUAGUUGUGGGGACCAUUCCACGGUUUCCGUGACGCAGCUAACGCAUUAAGUUCCCCGCCUGGGGAGUACGGCCGCAAGGCUAAAACUCAAAGGAAUUGACGGGGACCCGCACAAGCGGCGGAGCAUGCGGAUUAAUUCGAUGCAACGCGAAGAACCUUACCAAGGCUUGACAUAUACGAGAACGGGCCAGAAAUGGUCAACUCUUUGGACACUCGUAAACAGGUGGUGCAUGGUUGUCGUCAGCUCGUGUCGUGAGAUGUUGGGUUAAGUCCCGCAACGAGCGCAACCCUCGUUCUAUGUUGCCAGCACGUAAUGGUGGGAACUCAUGGGAUACUGCCGGGGUCAACUCGGAGGAAGGUGGGGAUGACGUCAAAUCAUCAUGCCCCUUAUGUCUUGGGCUUCACGCAUGCUACAAUGGCCGGUACAAAGGGCUGCAAUACCGUAAGGUGGAGCGAAUCCCAAAAAGCCGGUCCCAGUUCGGAUUGAGGUCUGCAACUCGACCUCAUGAAGUCGGAGUCGCUAGUAAUCGCAGAUCAGCAACGCUGCGGUGAAUACGUUCCCGGGUCUUGUACACACCGCCCGUCAAGUCAUGAAAGUCGGUAACACCUGAAGCCGG